AUUGAACGCUGGCGGCAUGCCUUACACAUGCAAGUCGAACGGUAACGGGCCUUCGGGUGCCGACGAGUGGCGAACGGGUGAGUAAUGCAUCGGAACGUACCUUUCAGUGGGGGAUAACGUAGCGAAAGUUACGCUAAUACCGCAUAUUCUGUGAGCAGGAAAGCAGGGGAUCGCAAGACCUUGCGCUGAUUGAGCGGCCGAUGUCAGAUUAGCUAGUUGGUGAGGUAAAGGCUCACCAAGGCGACGAUCUGUAGCGGGUCUGAGAGGAUGAUCCGCCACACUGGAACUGAGACACGGUCCAGACUCCUACGGGAGGCAGCAGUGGGGAAUUUUGGACAAUGGGGGCAACCCUGAUCCAGCCAUGCCGCGUGAGUGAAGAAGGCCUUCGGUUGGUAAAGACGUCUUCGUCCGGGACGGAAAGUACGCAUGGGUUAAGU
Molecule: ribosomal RNA, 437 nt
Filed under: uncultured bacterium
Lineage: Bacteria
Description: bacterial SSU rRNA
Rfam family: Bacterial small subunit ribosomal RNA
Source: RNAcentral